Molecule: long non-coding RNA, 390 nt
Organism: Triticum aestivum (bread wheat)
Lineage: Eukaryota; Viridiplantae; Streptophyta; Magnoliopsida; Poales; Poaceae
Exons: 3
Source: RefSeq, a predicted model, not a curated record
AAAAGAUAUAAGAAUCUCAUCUCCUUCUGGCGGAACGGCAGAGGGCUUGGCUGCUACCAGGGUGAUCCAAAGGGUGUAUCUAGGUAGCAUGUUUGUGGCCUCUUGCACUAACAUGAUUAAUGGUAGCUUCUAUUCCAUGACAUGAUUUUUGCAGCUGUAACAAUAUGUUUCAUGCAAGAGGACAUAAAUUUGCAUCCUAUUUUUCUGUCCAGUUAGUUCCAAAUUACAAAUGUUUGUGCUAUCACUGACAAUUUGGUGGAAAAAGAUGAGUCGUAUAUACACCCAGUGUGUUAAUUUCUAUGAUGUGGCUAGCAAAGUUGGCAACAGCUGGAGCUACCUGGAACUUUCAAUUUUGGUGCCAAGAUGGAUGGAUUCAACUGGGUGACCCAC